AAUAUUGGACAAUGGGCGCAAGCCUGAUCCAGCCAUACCGCGUGGGUGAAGAAGGCCUUCGGGUUGUAAAGCCCUUUUGUUGGGAAAGAAAUCCAGCUGGUUAAUACCCGGUUGGGAUGACGGUACCCAAAGAAUAAGCACCGGCUAACUUCGUGCCAGCAGCCGCGGUAAUACGAAGGGUGCAAGCGUUACUCGGAAUUACUGGGCGUAAAGCGUGCGUAGGUGGUCGUUUAAGUCCGUUGUGAAAGCCCUGGGCUCAACCUGGGAACUGCAGUGGAUACUGGGCGACUAGAGUGUGGUAGAGGGUAGCGGAAUUCCUGGUGUAGCAGUGAAAUGCGUAGAGAUCAGGAGGAAUACCGGUGGCGAAGGCGGCCCCCUGGACGAAGA
Molecule: ribosomal RNA, 387 nt
Filed under: uncultured bacterium
Lineage: Bacteria
Description: bacterial SSU rRNA
Rfam family: Bacterial small subunit ribosomal RNA
Source: RNAcentral